GAUGAACGCUGGCGGCGUGCCUAAUACAUGCAAGUCGAGCGAACAGACGAGGAGCUUGCUCCUCUGACGUUAGCGGCGGACGGGUGAGUAACACGUGGAUAACCUACCUAUAAGACUGGGAUAACUUCGGGAAACCGGAGCUAAUACCGGAUAAUAUAUUGAACCGCAUGGUUCAAUAGUGAAAGACGGUUUUGCUGUCACUUAUAGAUGGAUCCGCGCCGCAUUAGCUAGUUGGUAAGGUAACGGCUUACCAAGGCGACGAUGCGUAGCCGACCUGAGAGGGUGAUCGGCCACACUGGAACUGAGACACGGUCCAGACUCCUACGGUAGGCAGCAGUAGGGAAUCUGCCGCAAUGGGCGAAAGCCUGACGGAGCAACGCCGCGUGAGUGAUGAAGGUCUUCGGAUCGUAAAACCCUGUUAUUAGUGAAGAACAAAUGUGUAAGUAACUAUGCACGUCUUGACGGUACCUAAUCAGAAAGCCACGGCUAACUACGUG
This 497-nucleotide ribosomal RNA is filed under the name uncultured bacterium. RNAcentral's name for it is "partial 16S ribosomal RNA". It matches the Rfam family "Bacterial small subunit ribosomal RNA", at positions 28 to 507 of the family's 1533-position model. The record is from RNAcentral.